RNAcentral lists this ribosomal RNA (228 nucleotides) under uncultured bacterium. Its description in RNAcentral is "partial 16S ribosomal RNA". It matches the Rfam family "Bacterial small subunit ribosomal RNA", at positions 568 to 795 of the family's 1533-position model. The record is from RNAcentral.
UCCGUAGGCGGGCUAAUAAGUCAGGGGUGAAAUCCCACAGCUCAACUGUGGAACUGCCUUUGAUACUGUUAGUCUUGAGUUAUAUGGAAGUAGAUAGAAUGUGUAGUGUAGCGGUGAAAUGCUUAGAGAUUACACAGAAUACCGAUUGCGAAGGCAGUCUACUACGUAUAUACUGACGCUAAUGGACGAAAGCGUGGGGAGCGAACAGGAUUAGAUACCCUGGUAGUC